RNAcentral lists this ribosomal RNA (253 nucleotides) under uncultured bacterium. Its description in RNAcentral is "partial 16S ribosomal RNA". It matches the Rfam family "Bacterial small subunit ribosomal RNA", at positions 524 to 776 of the family's 1533-position model. The record is from RNAcentral.
UACGUAGGGACCGAGCGUUGUCCGGAUUCAUUGGGCGUAAAGAGCUCGUAGGCGGCUGUUCAAGUCGAACGUGAAAACUCGGGGCUCAACUCCGAGCCUGCGUUCGAUACUGGAUGGCUAGAGUCUGGUAGGGGGAUCUGGAAUUCCUGGUGUAGCGGUGGAAUGCGCAGAUAUCAGGAGGAACACCGGUGGCGAAGGCAGUGUCCUGGCGAGUGACUGACGCUGAGGUGCGAAAGCCAGGGGAGCGAACGGG